This 300-nucleotide ribosomal RNA is filed under the name uncultured Haliea sp. RNAcentral describes it as "partial 16S ribosomal RNA". The stretch from base 60 to 300 matches the Rfam family "Bacterial small subunit ribosomal RNA", at positions 556 to 795 of the family's 1533-position model. Lineage: Bacteria; Pseudomonadati; Pseudomonadota; Gammaproteobacteria; Cellvibrionales; Halieaceae. The record is from RNAcentral.
GAAGAGAAAGGGAGGGUGCCGCGGUAAGUGAGAGGUGGCAUGGGGGUGUCGGAAGUGUGGGGAGUAAAGGGCUGGUGGGCGGUCUGUGAAGUAUCGGGUGAAAGCGCGAGGCGUAACCGGGAAAGGGCGCGCGAAACUGGCGGACUUGGAGUGUCGGAGAGGGUGGCGGAAGUCCCGGUGUAGAGGUGAAAUUCGGAGAUAUCGGGAGGAACACCAGAGGCGAAGGCGGCCACCUGGACGAGCACUGACGCUGAGAAGCGAAAGCGUGGGGAGCAAACAGGAUUAGAUACCCCUGUAGUC